GACGAACGCUGGCGGCGUGCUUAACACAUGCAAGUCGAACGGAAAGGCCCUGCUUUUGUGGGGUGCUCGAGUGGCGAACGGGUGAGUAACACGUGAGUAACCUGCCCUUGACUUUGGGAUAACUUCAGGAAACUGGGGCUAAUACCGGAUAGGAGCUCCUGCUGCAUGGUGGGGGUUGGAAAGUUUCGGCGGUUGGGGAUGGACUCGCGGCUUAUCAGCUUGUUGGUGGGGUAGUGGCUUACCAAGGCUUUGACGGGUAGCCGGCCUGAGAGGGUGACCGGCCACAUUGGGACUGAGAUACGGCCCAGACUCCUACGGGAGGCAGCAGUGGGGAAUAUUGCACAAUGGGCGGAAGCCUGAUGCAGCAACGCCGCGUGCGGGAUGACGGCCUUCGGGUUGUAAACCGCUUUCGCCUGUGACGAAGCGUGAGUGACGGUAAUGGGUAAAGAAUCACCGGCUAACUACGU
This 467-nucleotide ribosomal RNA is filed under the name uncultured bacterium. RNAcentral's name for it is "partial 16S ribosomal RNA". It matches the Rfam family "Bacterial small subunit ribosomal RNA", at positions 28 to 506 of the family's 1533-position model. The record is from RNAcentral.